Molecule: long non-coding RNA, 1302 nt
Filed under: Athene cunicularia (burrowing owl)
Lineage: Eukaryota; Metazoa; Chordata; Aves; Strigiformes; Strigidae
Description: lncRNA (ENSACUG00000013285.1)
Source: RNAcentral
AUCCGUAAUCAGCAAAGCAGAUGGGGACACAGGAGGGGACAUGGGGACACGGGAGGGAAUGUGGGGACACUGUGGGGGAUGUGGGGACAUGGGAACGGAUCUGGGGACGCAGGAGGGGAUGUAAGAACAUGGGAGGGGACAUGGGGACGUGGGAUAGGGACAGAGGGACAUGGGAGGGGAUGUGGGGACACUGAGAGGGAUGUGGGGACACAGGAUGGGGACAUGGGACACAGGAUAGGGACAUGGGGGACAUGGGGACCCAAGGGGAUGGGGACACGCAUUUGCGGACAAAGUGACUCAGCCAGGAUUGCAGCAGUGACAAGUUGAUGCCAGUGGUCCCCAGCAAAGCCACUUGUCCCCAAAAAAGCCAACGUCCCCUACUGUGGUCUCUGCGACAGUAGCCCCGGGAGGGCGGCAGUGGCCUCCACCGUGUCUGGUGGCCUCGAUGUCCUCGAGGCAGUGCCGCAGGUGACGGUAGAAGAGGGUGGCCCUGUGGCAGGCGGCCACCAAGCGUUCCAGGGGCUCGUGGGCCACCCCCACCAGCCGUCCCCACUCCUUGACAUUCCUCGCACGCAGCGCUGCAUCCACGGUGGCCUCAGUGGCCUUGGUGGCCGCCUGCAGCUCCGUGCUGGCCUCAGCCACUUGUGUCUCGUAGGUUUUCACUGCCUCAUCCAUCAUGUCCUGCUUCAAGGCCAUGGGCAGGUCCUGGGUGGCCUCAAGCAGAUUCUGGUAUGCGCUGUUCUCACGGGCCAGCGCCUCUGCCAGGUUGCCCUUGCUGACCCCUGUGGUAGCCUCUGUGGUAGCCACGGCUCCACAGGCAUCCUGCAAGUGCGUGACCUUCUCCUCUAUCGUGGCCCAGGCGGCCUCUACCGAUGCCACCGACUCCCGCCACUUAGGGAUGAUGGCGCCCACGGUGGCCCAGUUGUCACCCGCGGUGGCCAGUGCAUCAUACUGGAGGUAGGUGGCCUCUCCCUGGCGGUGCUCCAUGGCCCGGGAGAUAUCGAAAAUGAGGUCAACCAGCCCAGCCGCAGCGAGCCCGGGGGCUUGGGCAGGGGGACAUCCCCCAGCGUGGCCCCCAGCUCGCCCAGGGUGGCCACCACGGUCACCAACGGCUCCAGCAGCUUUGCCCGUCCCCGCCAUUGUCCCUAUGGUCCCCCUGGGGUGUCCCCCCCAUUCCUGGUGACCCCACGUCCCUCCCCACCCCCUGUCCCUGCUCUUGCUGCCCUGUCACCGCUGUCCCCUGCCAAGCCCUGUCCCCCCCGACACCUCCAUCGCCUCUGUCACCCUUCUGUUCCCACUGUC